Long non-coding RNA from Mesocricetus auratus (golden hamster), 3669 nucleotides. RefSeq lists it as uncharacterized. The transcript is spliced from 4 exons. The record is from RefSeq and is a predicted model, not a curated record. NCBI's taxonomy places the organism in Eukaryota, Metazoa, Chordata, Mammalia, Rodentia, Cricetidae.
UUUAGGUCCAUCCGUAUACGUCUUUAGUCAUGCCUAAAGUGGGUGUGGUUAGCGGUGUGGUAAACCGCUCUUUUAUUACCUCAUCUGUAUGCGCCUCUAGUAAGUCACAUGGUUAAUGGCGAAGCCCCAUUGUCUUACACUGACCUGCUUUCCCUAGAAUAAAGUGACAUCUCAGGGUUUCGGGUCCCACAUGGAGAUCUCCCAAGACUCCCAUGGCAAUCAUGAGGGUUGGGAGUGUGAAGACACAAGGGCUGGCAGCAGGUGGUAUCCAGCCUUCAGAUGGAGGAGUUUUACCUUCCAGGAACAUCGCCUCAGGAUUUAGUCCCAGGAUGUUUGCAUCAGGUUAUUCAGGGAGCCAGUGACCAAUCCCCACAGGGAAUUUGCAGCAGUAAAGGUUAGACUUUGGGCAGUACCGACAAUUCAUGGUUGUGAAGAAGAGAGGAAACAGGGGUCUCUGCUGCAGAUGGCAAGGGGUUUAGGUUAACGUGAGCAGGAAGUGAGGGAGAAAGCAAGCCUGUGUCAGUCAGACAGGGAGAAACGGGUCCUGAGCUUCCAGGAGAUGAGAGAAUUAGGCCUCAGGUGGGGAGGUUCCAGCCGGAGCAGGGGCCACCUGGAAACACCAUCUGAACAAUUUAAAUGUGAUUCUUUAGGGCAGAGAGUGGCACAUGGUAGGGAGGCGAGGGGUACAAGGAUGUGUAUCCUGGCUGGAGGCCAACUGAGGAUCUUCCCAACAGUGUCAAGGGCAGGACAGAGCAAAGCGGUGACCCACAGCCUACCCACGGCUGUGUGUAGACCAGCGCGUACAGCCACUGACUUUUCCACGUCUCGAGGUCUCUUCAUCGUCUUGUCCCCAGGCGUAUACGCUGGAGAGUUCCCUAGCCAUGGUCCUUGGGGUCUUUACAGGGCUUCAGUGCAGUCUAUCAGAAGGGGAAACUGAGGUAUUAUUUUGUAAGGAGCCUGUGGGAGGACAUGCUCUGGGGUAGUUGUGGAGUAAGAUGCCGGUGUCCACAGACUGGAGUGGUUCCUAAGCUGGGGUGUUGUCCUUCGUCUUGUGAAGUGAGGAGGGUGGGUGGGCGGUAUGCAGGAGAAGUCUGUGGACAACCAUUUUCAUCUCGGCUCUGUAGGUGCAGGCUGGGGGAGGUAGUGGGAGGAAGACUUGAUCUGGAGUUUGCAGUGACUACAACUUUCCUGCAGAUCACUGCUACAUGGGCAACUAGAGGAGAGGUAAGGAUCCCCCAGGUUGAGAAAGGCAGAGGCCUAAUCCUUCAUCUCGGUGAGAAAGAGACAAGGAGAAAAGAGACAAAAAGUGGAAAGGAGGAGUCACUCUGGGCAGGCAGGCUGCAAGGUACUGGUGAUGCCCGCACACUGCUUUGUGCCACUGAUUUAUUUGGAUGGUUUGUUUUUUAAUUUUAUUUUGAGAUGGGUCAGUCUUAAGCUCUCAUGUCUCCGUGGUAAGAGUGCCUUUCCUAGAAAAGACAUUGUGAGACAGUCAGUACUGGGACAGUAGAAGACUGUCUAUCGCAGGUGCUGUGACCCUGAGUUCCUCCUGACCCCUGUCCUCCGUUCCAGGGGUGCCUCUUAUUCUCUUUGACUGUGAGAAAAGCAGGGUGUCUUGUCAGAGUGGACACAGAUGGCUUUGGGGAGUGUGUGUGUGUGUGUGUGUGUGUGUGUGUGUAUGUGUGUGUGUCUGCCUGUGAGCGUGUGAAGGGGCAGGGGCUCACCAGCAGAUCAGAGCACAGGAUAGGAGAGCUUCCAGGUGAACUGGGUCAAGUCCCAAGUCAGCCCAGAGGAUGCUUCAACCAGACUCCUGUCGGCCUGCACAGCUGGAGCAGCAGUGGUUGCACUCACUGAGGAGCCCAGAGCCGUGCCAGGAAGGAGUAAGUAAACAGUGGAGGACCACAGGGUUCCCUGGGAGGUGGAAGAAGCCAGGGAUGCUCACUCAGAGCCAGCCUUAGAGUAUGAGAUGAGAGGGAAACGCAAGAGGGGGUGUCGUUGAGUCUGUCUGUCCCUGGCCUCUACCCACUAUUUGAUGCAUAUAUCCAUAUCCCUGUGCCUUGAACCCUGUCAUCUCCAAGCCACGGCCAGAGGCUAGAAAUCCCAAAUAGAGCAACCAAAAGUGAGCACAAGGACCAGUGUAGCCAAAAGCAUGCCCUGUGGUAUAUGGAUGGUGUAUGUCCAAUGUCCCAAAGCAAGCCUGGACACCAGUGGCCAUGUCAGGGAGAUGGGAGGGCAUCCUAGGUUCAUAGACUCACAGGGGAGGCAGGAAGUGCAGGCAGCAAGGGUUUAGACAAGAUGCAAAUCCUGCUUCUACUUACAGGUACUCACUUGGUGCACCCUGGAAAGCUGUGGAACACACAAGCCCCGGCCUCAGACAACAGAGAUGGCGAGCGUGUGCUGAUGCUGCUGACUCCUGGAUGCCACGGAAUUGUUUGUAAGGUAAAAAUCCUCCAGCUGCUCCUGUGAGGAGUUCUACCAGGUCUGGGUGACAUCGCAGGUAUCCCGUGCAGGUGGCUUUCUCCAUGGAUGUAGAAGCUUGGCCCUAGGACCUGGAUAAAGAAACACUGAGAUGCUGAUGUGGCUUCCACAGCUACCUUGGGUGCCUCACUCUUCAUCUGUGCUCCCGCAUGGAGUUUUUCCUUUGGUAAAAUAAGUAAAUCACCUGUCCUUUCUGAAGAGGUGUCUGGAGUUCCAGAAGACAAAACUGGGGAAAGAAGGCCCCAAGAAUGCACACUAUCUCUCCUCCCUCUCCAGGUCUUUGUUCUGCAAAAAUCUGUAUCAUUUCACCUUCCAGUGUAACUAUUGACAUGGCACCAUGCUCUCCAACUGGUGGGACAGAGUCCAAAGUGUUGUGGAUGUGAAGGCUUUCUUUCUGUGGCCAUCCCUGCUCACUCAUUCUGCCAUCUCUUCAUCAAAUACCCCUUAUAGAUGAAUUUCAAAGCAACCAUGGUUUUCCAUGUUGGCCUCAUCAUCCUUUCCUUCAGCUUCCACCAGAAGACAUCCCCCCAAAGGACACUGGAAGAGGCUGACUUAAAGAGUAGGACCAGGGACUAAGAUGGAUGGAGCUGUUCCCAUGGAGACCUGGGCAGAGGACAGCAUAGCUCUCAGCAGAACCCUCCAGAGCUGCGGUUCAUCCAGUGAAAGAGGAGAAUCCCUUCCUUCUAGAGUUCAGGAGGAAUGAAGUGGACUCAGGCUUCAUAUCCACCGCUCAUGUGGCUUUAUAACUGUGCACCACCUGCCUCUGCUAUAUAGUCCUUUAAUGGAAAGGACUGCCUUCUUUUUGGUAGCCACUGUACUUGGCACCCACUUCAUCUCAACAAAUGCGUGUCUGAGGCUUGGAUUCUGCAACUGGUGGUCAUGGUUACCGGUAAAGAACAGACUUGGGGGUAGACAAAGUCAAGGAUGGCUUGCUAUUUGACUUGCAGUCAGAAACUUACUUGAUUUUCAAUGUGACUGUGAACAGUUACCUCCUACCCCACAUAGCUUUUGGCUUACCACUCUCCGCACACGUGUCUCUGUAGUUGUAUGAUUCUAUAGUAUGAUAUUAGGGCAAGGGAAAGGGACAUAUGCAUGGAUCAGAAUUUUUGUCUGUCAACAUGUAGACACGUAGAUAUUUCUGCUUUGUUCAACUGUCUCUUCUAUGAACAUUAGCAAAUAAAAUUAUCUAAGAUC